This 253-nucleotide ribosomal RNA is filed under the name uncultured bacterium. Its description in RNAcentral is "partial 16S ribosomal RNA". It matches the Rfam family "Bacterial small subunit ribosomal RNA", at positions 524 to 776 of the family's 1533-position model. The record is from RNAcentral.
UACAGAGGGGGCAAGCGUUGUUCGGAAUUACUGGGCGUAAAGGGCGCGUAGGCGGCCUGUUAAGUCGAACGUGAAAUCCCCGGGCUCAACCCGGGAACUGCGUCCGAGACUGAUAGGCUCGAAUCCGGGAGAGGGAUGUGGAAUUCCAGGUGUAGCGGUGAAAUGCGUAGAUAUCUGGAGGAACACCGGUGGCGAAGGCGACAUCCUGGACCGGUAUUGACGCUGAGGCGCGAAAGCCAGGGGAGCAAACGGG